Molecule: transfer RNA, 70 nt
Filed under: Phyllocnistis citrella
Lineage: Eukaryota; Metazoa; Arthropoda; Insecta; Lepidoptera; Gracillariidae
Description: tRNA-Leu
Source: RNAcentral
ACUAUUUUGACAGAAAAAUGUGAUGAUUUUAGAAUUCAUAUAUGUAUAUUUUAUAAAUAUAUAAAUAGUA